This 862-nucleotide small RNA is filed under the name Pongo abelii (Sumatran orangutan). Its description in RNAcentral is "processed transcript". The record is from RNAcentral. Lineage: Eukaryota; Metazoa; Chordata; Mammalia; Primates; Hominidae.
UUUUCUUGGAGCCUGCGACCGAGUGGGAGUGGAGUGGAGCGGCUGUGGUUGCCGACCCUUUCCUCUUCCCCACGGUCCAGUCAGCGGGUUAAUUAGGCCAUCGGCCCUCGAGCCGAGACUUGUCUCUUAUUUAGUUCUGGGGAGCGCCUCGUCGACAUGAGUGAUGUAGAGGAGAACAACUUCGAGGGCAGAGUUAAUGUUCGUGAAGAAAUUGAAGAGUUUUUUCCAAGAAUGUGGAAGAUAAAUCAAGAUAAAAGAAGGCUAAUGAAAAGUAUUAAAGAUCAGAAAAUUAAAAUUGAAUGGGGGAAAAAAUUGAACAGAAGAUUGGUCAGAUAGAAGCACUUGAAUAUUUUUUUAAGGCUAUUUUGAAUUGUUUGAAUUGGGGAAGAAUACACGAAGUAUGAAAAAUGAAAAACUCAAUGAAGAAUGAAGAGAAGUAGAAAGCAAGAGUGAAGUAGAAUUAAAAGAAUCUGGAAGAAUGAAUGGGUCCUAGGUUAAGUAAAUGAGUCUCGCUCUCAGUCAAAAUCUCCAACGGGAACUCCUGCUCGUGUAAAAUCGGAGAGCAGGUCAGGAUCUCGUAGUCCGUCAAGGGUUUCCAAACACUCUGAAUCCCAUUCUCGAUCAAGAUCAAAAUCCAGGUCGAGGUCAAGGAGACAUUCUCAUAGACGUUACACUCGAUCCAGAUCCCACUCUCACUCUCAUAGGAGACGAUCUCGAAGUAGAUCAUAUACACCAGAAUACCGGCGGCGAAGGAGCCGAAGCCAUUCUCCAAUGUCUAACCGGAGAAGACAUACUGGCAGCAGGGCAAAUCCAGAUCCCAACACUUGCCUUGGAGUGUUUGGCCUCAGUUUGUACACAACAG